Molecule: ribosomal RNA, 299 nt
Filed under: uncultured bacterium
Lineage: Bacteria
Description: partial 16S ribosomal RNA
Rfam family: Bacterial small subunit ribosomal RNA
Source: RNAcentral
UCCUACGGGAGGCAGCAGUGGGGGAUAUUGCACAAUGGGGGAAACCCUGAUGCAGCGACGCCGCGUGGACGAAGAAGUAUUUCGGUAUGUAAAGUCCUAUCAGCAGGGAAGAAGAAAUGACGGUACCUGAGUAAGAAGCCCCGGCUAACUACGUGCCAGCAGCCGCGGUAAUACGUAGGGGGCAAGCGUUAUCCGGAUUUACUGGGUGUAAAGGGAGCGUAGACGGCAGUGCAAGUCUGGAGUGAAAGGCGGGGGCUCAACCCCCGGACUGCUCUGGAAACUGUACGGCUGGAGUGCAG